AAUUACAAGCGAAAGCAUAAAAUUCAAAGGACUUGACGGUACUUCACAUCAACCUAGAGGAGCCUGUCCUAUAAUCGAUAACCCACGUUUUACCUCACCUACUCUUGCAAGACCAGCCUGUAUACCGCCGUCGCCAGCCCAUCUAAUGAUAGAAUAAAAAUGGACAAAACUGUAUAACUACAAAAACGUCAGGUCAAGGUGCAGCUAAUGAGUGGGCUGAGAUGGGCUACAUUUUUUAAAUUAAAAACUACUACAAGCAACAUGAAACACUGAGCUACCAAGAUGGAUUUAGUAGUAAAUAUGUGCAAGACAUGCCAUAUUGAAACCCGUUCUGAAGUGCGUACACACCGCC
RNAcentral lists this ribosomal RNA (352 nucleotides) under Phelsuma lineata (striped day gecko). RNAcentral's name for it is "partial 12S ribosomal RNA". It matches the Rfam family "Bacterial small subunit ribosomal RNA", at positions 878 to 1394 of the family's 1533-position model. The record is from RNAcentral. Lineage: Eukaryota; Metazoa; Chordata; Lepidosauria; Squamata; Gekkonidae.